GAUACGCGAGGAACCUUACCUGGGCUCAAAUGUAUGUUGACGUAUUCUGAAAGGGAUACUUCUUCGGACAAUAUACAAGGUGCUGCAUGGUUGUCGUCAGCUCGUGCCGUGAGGUGUCGGGUUAAGUCCCGCAACGAGCGCAACCCCUAUCAUCUGUUGCCAGCAUUUAAGGUGGGGACUCAGAUGAGGCUGCCGGUGACAAACCGGAGGAAGGUGGGGACGACGUCAAGUCAUCAUGGCCCUUAUGUCCUGGGCUACACACGUGCUACAAUGGCCGGUACAGAGUGAAGCGAAACCGCGAGGUGAAGCAAAACGCAGAAAGCCGGUCUCAGUACGGAUUGGAGUCUGAAACUCGACUUCAUGAAGUUGGAAUCGCUAGUAAUCGCGCAUCAGCCAUGGCGCGGUGAAUACGUUCCCGGGCCUU
This 424-nucleotide ribosomal RNA is filed under the name uncultured Spirochaeta sp. Its description in RNAcentral is "bacterial SSU rRNA". It matches the Rfam family "Bacterial small subunit ribosomal RNA", at positions 956 to 1382 of the family's 1533-position model. Lineage: Bacteria; Pseudomonadati; Spirochaetota; Spirochaetia; Spirochaetales; Spirochaetaceae. The record is from RNAcentral.